This 896-nucleotide ribosomal RNA is filed under the name uncultured bacterium. RNAcentral's name for it is "bacterial SSU rRNA". It matches the Rfam family "Bacterial small subunit ribosomal RNA", at positions 57 to 947 of the family's 1533-position model. The record is from RNAcentral.
GCAAGUCGAGGGGCAGCAUAAUGGAUAGCAAUAUCUAUGGUGGCGACCGGCGCACGGGUGCGUAACGCGUAUGCAACCUACCUUUAACAGGGGGAUAACACUGAGAAAUUGGUACUAAUACCCCAUAAUAUCAUAGAAGGCAUCUUUUAUGGUUGAAAAUUCCGAUGGUUAGAGAUGGGCAUGCGUUGUAUUAGCUAGUUGGUGGGGUAACGGCUCACCAAGGCGACGAUACAUAGGGGGACUGAGAGGUUAACCCCCCACACUGGUACUGAGACACGGACCAGACUCCUACGGGAGGCAGCAGUGAGGAAUAUUGGUCAAUGGACGCAAGUCUGAACCAGCCAUGCCGCGUGCAGGAUGACGGCUCUAUGAGUUGUAAACUGCUUUUGUACGAGGGUAAACGCAGAUACGUGUAUCUGUCUGAAAGUAUCGUACGAAUAAGGAUCGGCUAACUCCGUGCCAGCAGCCGCGGUAAUACGGAGGAUUCAAGCGUUAUCCGGAUUUAUUGGGUUUAAAGGGUGCGUAGGCGGUUUGAUAAGUUAGAGGUGAAAUUUCGGGGCUCAACCCUGAACGUGCCUCUAAUACUGUUGAGCUAGAGAGUAGUUGCGGUAGGCGGAAUGUAUGGUGUAGCGGUGAAAUGCUUAGAGAUCAUACAGAACACCGAUUGCGAAGGCAGCUUACCAAACUAUAUCUGACGUUGAGGCACGAAAGCGUGGGGAGCAAACAGGAUUAGAUACCCUGGUAGUCCACGCAAUAAACGAUGAUAACUCGUUGUCGGCGAUACACAGUCGGUGACUAAGCGAAAGCGAUAAGUUAUCCACCUGGGGAGUACGUUCGCAAGAAUGAAACUCAAAGGAAUUGACGGGGGCCCGCACAAGCGGAGGAACAUGUGGUUU